Molecule: ribosomal RNA, 256 nt
Filed under: uncultured bacterium
Lineage: Bacteria
Description: partial 16S ribosomal RNA
Rfam family: Bacterial small subunit ribosomal RNA
Source: RNAcentral
GAUGAACGCUGGCGGCGUGCUUAAUACAUGCAAGUCGAGCGGUAAGGUUCUGCACUCAGUAUUUGACCAGAUAAGUCCGGCAAUUGCCGGAUACUGUCUGCAGCGAUAUCCUCUAGGCUAGAGGAUAUAGGUCGAAUGAUGAGUGUAGAAUACACGAGCGGCGGACGGCUGAGUAACGCGUAGGAACGUACCCAACUGAGGAUAAGCACCAGAAAUGGUGUCUAAUACCGCAUGUGCUCCACGGAGUAAAGCUUUA